RNAcentral lists this ribosomal RNA (478 nucleotides) under uncultured bacterium. RNAcentral's name for it is "partial 16S ribosomal RNA". It matches the Rfam family "Bacterial small subunit ribosomal RNA", at positions 28 to 507 of the family's 1533-position model. The record is from RNAcentral.
GACGAACGCUGGUGGCGUGCUUAACACAUGCAAGUCGAACGGGAUUUAGUAAACAGAAGCCUCGGUGGAAGAUUACUAAUGAGAGUGGCGAACGGGUGAGUAACGCGUGAGCAACCUGCCUAUGACAGUGGGAUAGCCUCGGGAAACCGGGAUUAAUACCGCAUAAAAUCGUAGAAACACAUGUUUUAACGGUCAAAGAUUUAUCGGUCAUAGAUGGGCUCGCGUCUGAUUAGCUAGUUGGUGAGAUAACAGCCCACCAAGGCGACGAUCAGUAGCCGGUCUGAGAGGAUGAACGGCCUCAUUGGAACUGAGACACGGUCCAAACUCCUACGGGAGGCAGCAGUGGGGAAUAUUGCACAAUGGGGGAAACCCUGAUGCAGCGACGCCGCGUGAACGAAGAAGGUAUUCGUAUCGUAAAGUUCUGUCCUAUGGGAAGAUAAUGACAGUACCAUAGAAGAAAGCUCCGGCUAAAUACGUG